GAUGAACGCUAGCGAUAGGCCUAACACAUGCAAGUCGAGGGGCAUCACAUGAAGUAGCAAUACGGAUGGUGGCGACCGGCGCACGGGUGAGUAACACGUAUGCAACCUGCCUUCAACAAGGGGAUAACCCGUUGAAAGACGGACUAAUACCCUAUAACACAGGGGUCCCGCAUGGGAAUAUUUGUUAAAGGACAACCGGUUGAAGAUGGGCAUGCGUUCCAUUAGCUAGUUGGCGGGGUAACGGCCCACCAAGGCAACGAUGGAUAGGGGAACUGAGAGGUUUAUCCCCCACACUGGUACUGAGACACGGACCAGACUCCUACGGGAGGCAGCAGUGAGGAAUAUUGGUCAAUGGACGCAAGUCUGAACCAGCCACGUCGCGUGAAGGAAGACGGCCCUACGGGUUGUAAACUUCUUUUAUACGGGAAUAAAGUGCCCCACGCGUGGGGUUUUGCAUGUACCGUAUGAAUAAGGAUCGGCUAACUCCGUGCCAGCAGCCGCGGUAAUUACG
RNAcentral lists this ribosomal RNA (511 nucleotides) under uncultured bacterium. RNAcentral's name for it is "bacterial SSU rRNA". It matches the Rfam family "Bacterial small subunit ribosomal RNA", at positions 28 to 527 of the family's 1533-position model. The record is from RNAcentral.